UACGGGGGGGGCAAGCGUUGUUCGGAAUUACUGGGCGUAAAGGGUUCGUAGGUGGCCAACUAAGUCAGACGUGAAAUCCCUCAGCUUAACUGGGGAACUGCGUCUGAUACUGGUUGGCUUGAGUGCAGGAGAGGAACGCGGAAUUCCAGGUGUAGCGGUGAAAUGCGUAGAUAUCUGGAGGAACACCGGUGGCGAAGGCGGCGUUCUGGACUGCAACUGACACCGAGGAACGAAAGCCAGGGGAGCAAACGGG
Molecule: ribosomal RNA, 253 nt
Filed under: uncultured bacterium
Lineage: Bacteria
Description: partial 16S ribosomal RNA
Rfam family: Bacterial small subunit ribosomal RNA
Source: RNAcentral